UACGUAGGGUGCAAGCGUUAAUCGGAAUUACUGGGCGUAAAGCGUGCGUAGACGGCUAUCUAAGUCGGGUGUGAAAGCCCCGGGCUCAACCUGGGAAUUGCAUUCGAGACUGAAUAGCUAGGGUACGGUAGAGGGAAGUGGAAUUUCCGGUGUAGCGGUGAAAUGCGUAGAUAUCGGAAGGAACAUCAGUGGCGAAAGCGACUUCCUGGACCAGUACCGACGUUCAGGCACGAAAGCGUGGGGAGCAAACAGG
Molecule: ribosomal RNA, 253 nt
Filed under: uncultured bacterium
Lineage: Bacteria
Description: partial 16S ribosomal RNA
Rfam family: Bacterial small subunit ribosomal RNA
Source: RNAcentral